This 465-nucleotide ribosomal RNA is filed under the name Vreelandella stevensii. RNAcentral's name for it is "partial 16S ribosomal RNA". It matches the Rfam family "Bacterial small subunit ribosomal RNA", at positions 338 to 795 of the family's 1533-position model. The record is from RNAcentral. Lineage: Bacteria; Pseudomonadati; Pseudomonadota; Gammaproteobacteria; Oceanospirillales; Halomonadaceae.
CCUACGGGGCGCAGCAGUGGGGAAUAUUGGACAAUAGGCGAAAGCCUGAUCCAGCCAUGCCGCGUGUGUGAAGAAGGCCUUCGGGUUGUAAAGCACUUUCAGUGGGGAAGAAAGCCUUGGGGCUAAUACCCUCGAGGAAGGACAUCACCCACAGAAGAAGCACCGGCUAACUCCGUGCCAGCAGCCGCGGUAAUACGGAGGGUGCGAGCGUUAAUCGGAAUUACUGGGCGUAAAGCGCGCGUAGGCGGUCUGAUAAGCCGGUUGUGAAAGCCCCGGGCUCAACCUGGGAACGGCAUCCGGAACUGUCAGGCUAGAGUGCAGGAGAGGAAGGUAGAAUUCCCGGUGUAGCGGUGAAAUGCGUAGAGAUCGGGAGGAAUACCAGUGGCGAAGGCGGCCUUCUGGACUGACACUGACGCUGAGGUGCGAAAGCGUGGGUAGCAAACAGGAUUAGAUACCCCAGUAGUC